Molecule: small RNA, 896 nt
Filed under: Pongo abelii (Sumatran orangutan)
Lineage: Eukaryota; Metazoa; Chordata; Mammalia; Primates; Hominidae
Description: processed transcript
Source: RNAcentral
AAUGCAUCACCGCACACGGGGCUCGCGGGUCCGGGAGCGCGACGGAGACGAUGCCUGAGAUCAGAGUCACGCCCUUGGGGGCCGGCCAGGACGUGGGCCGAAGCUGCAUCCUGGUCUCCAUUGCGGGCAAGAAUGUCAUGCUGGACUGUGGAAUGCACAUGGGCUUCAAUGACGACCGACGCUUCCCUGACUUCUCCUACAUCACCCAGAAUGGCCGCCUGACAGACUUCCUGGACUGCGUGAUCAUUAGACUUUGAGACUGAAAGUUGCAGGGAGACAGUUCUAUGUUUGCUGAUUCCUGACUCUUUGGUACUUGGGAUGGGGCCUGGUGCACAGCAGGCGAAUGAAGGGGCCAGUGACCCACAAGCCCAGAGCUGGGGUGAAGGCUGGGGCAGGGUGGGCCCAGGCUGACCUGUGCUGCAUCCCCCUAGCCACUUCCACCUGGACCACUGCGGGGCACUCCCCUACUUCAGCGAGAUGGUGGGCUACGACGGGCCCAUCUACAUGACCCACCCCACCCAGGCCAUCUGCCCCAUCUUGCUGGAGGACUACCGCAAGAUCGCCGUGGACAAGAAGGGCGAGGCCAACUUCUUCACCUCCCAGAUGAUCAAAGACUGCAUGAAGAAGGUGGUGGCUGUCCACCUCCACCAGACGGUCCAGGUUAGGUUCCCAGAGCCACAGACGGCACAGUCACUGCCCACCCCCACACCAACCAUGCCCUCUGCCCAUUCUACACAGUCUCUGGAAGGCUGGGGCCUCAGGGUGAGCCCACCCCACCUCACUCUUGCAUCCAGCACUGUGGGGACACCAGGAGGCGGCAGCGCGAGGAUGUGGGUCCCAGACUGGACUGGGCGCCGACCUGCGAGAGCACUUGCACGGUGGGGGUGUCCCCCGGC